RNAcentral lists this long non-coding RNA (615 nucleotides) under Sorghum bicolor (sorghum). RNAcentral's name for it is "long non-coding RNA (SBIC_LNC014971)". The record is from RNAcentral. Lineage: Eukaryota; Viridiplantae; Streptophyta; Magnoliopsida; Poales; Poaceae.
GACAUGGAGGGUUGUUGUGGUAUUGCUGACAUUGUCAAUUAAUUUCUAGAAAAAGAAAGCUGGCAAGACUAAGACACCACCAAUCAUGGGACAUUUGCAGAUGUUAUUAUUUGAUUGAAAAACAUGGCUAGUAAAGAGUAGAAUAAAAAGGAAAGGGAACAACAGAAGAGGAAGUAUGUGUGUGUGCCACUAUCAUCAGGAAACAACUCGGCAACUGAACAAAUAAUAGACCGCGUUUAGAAAUACGAGGUGCCGGGAAUUAUACAUAAGCUAGCAUGCAAUGGGCAUGACGCAUCCUGGAGUAUAUUGACAGACCAGCAACAGAGCACAAGUGACCACGAUACUAUGCCUGGUCCUUACUCUUAGUGGUUAUGCCACUAGCGAUGUGCACGGUGCUGACUUUCUGCAAAUCACCCAUUAUUAUUCGGUUAUUGCCCAAAUUGCUGUUGAUGGCACUCACAAGUCUAUAGCAGGCCACAUAGAUCCACGGUGCAUCACCCCUGACUAGCUGAAAUGCUGCCUUCCUGAUAUGUGAACUCAAUCAGUACCCCACUGGCAUCUGAUUUGCGGUAUGCUUGGAGGAGUCAGCAAAAGUUUGUUAUGAAACCACGCCAG